GCCAGGCACAGUGGUGCAUGCCUGUAGUCCCAGCUACUCGGUAGGCUGAGACAGGAGGAUCGCUUGAGUCCAGGAGUUCUGGGCUGUAGUGCGCUAUGCCAAUCGCGCCCACACUAAGUUCGGCAUCAAUAUGGUGAUCUCCCAGGAGCUGGGGACCACCAGGUUGCCUAAGGCGGAGUGAACUGGCCCAGGUCAGAAAUGGGGCAGGUCAAAAAUCAGGUUCUAGAUAUAUUUUGAAGGCAGAGUUUACCAGUUUACUUGAUGGGUUGAAUAUAGAGCCUGA
RNAcentral lists this signal recognition particle RNA (283 nucleotides) under Jaculus jaculus (lesser Egyptian jerboa). Its description in RNAcentral is "Metazoan signal recognition particle RNA (ENSJJAG00000006695.1)". It matches the Rfam family "Metazoan signal recognition particle RNA". Rfam says of the family: The signal recognition particle (SRP) is a universally conserved ribonucleoprotein. It is involved in the co-translational targeting of proteins to membranes. The record is from RNAcentral. Lineage: Eukaryota; Metazoa; Chordata; Mammalia; Rodentia; Dipodidae.